GAUGAACGCUAGCGGCAGGCUUAACACAUGCAAGUCGAGGGGUAUAGUUCUUCGGAACUAGAGACCGGCGCACGGGUGCGUAACGCGUAUGCAAUCUACCUUUUGCAGAGGGAUAGCCCAGAGAAAUUUGGAUUAAUACCUCAUAGUAUGUGAGAAUGGCAUCAUUUUCACAUUAAAGUCACAACGGCAAAAGAUGAGCAUGCGUCCCAUUAGCUAGUUGGUAAGGUAACGGCUUACCAAGGCAACGAUGGGUAGGGGUCCUGAGAGGGAGAUCCCCCACACUGGUACUGAGACACGGACCAGACUCCUACGGGAGGCAGCAGUGAGGAAUAUUGGACAAUGGGCGCAAGCCUGAUCCAGCCAUGCCGCGUGCAGGAUGACGGUCCUAUGGAUUGUAAACUGCUUUUGUACAGGAAGAACACUGGUUCGUGAACCAGCUUGACGGUACUGUAAGAUAAGGAUCGGCUAACUCCGUGCC
This 478-nucleotide ribosomal RNA is filed under the name uncultured bacterium. Its description in RNAcentral is "bacterial SSU rRNA". It matches the Rfam family "Bacterial small subunit ribosomal RNA", at positions 28 to 509 of the family's 1533-position model. The record is from RNAcentral.